Molecule: ribosomal RNA, 490 nt
Filed under: uncultured bacterium
Lineage: Bacteria
Description: partial 16S ribosomal RNA
Rfam family: Bacterial small subunit ribosomal RNA
Source: RNAcentral
AGUGAACGCUGGCGGUAGGCCUAACACAUGCAAGUCGAACGGCAGCACAGUAAGAGCUUGCUCUUACGGGUGGCGAGUGGCGGACGGGUGAGGAAUACAUCGGAAUCUACUUUUUCGUGGGGGAACGUAGGGAAACUUACGCUAAUACCGCAUACGACCUACGGGUGAAAGCAGGGGAUCUUCGGACCUUGCGCGAUUGAAUGAGCCGAGGUCGGAUUAGCUAGUUGGCGGGGUAAAGGCCCACCAAGGCGACGAUCCGUAGCUGGUCUGAGAGGAUGAUCAGACACACUGGAACUGAGACACGGUCCAGACUCCUACGGGAGGCAGCAGUGGGGAAUAUUGGACAAUGGGCGCAAGCCUGAUCCAGCCAUACCGCGUGGGUGAAGAAGGCCUUCGGGUUGUAAAGCCCUUUUGUUGGGAAAGAAAAGCAGCAGGUUAAUACCCCGCUGUUCUGACGGUACCCAAAGAAUAAGCACCGGCUAACUUCGUG